AGCAACUCAAAAACUCAAACUCAGUUUGAGUUAUUGGGAAUAAGUUUUUCUUUUCCUAAUGUGCAGUGAUUAAAAUGUGCUUUAGCAUUCCUUUAACUUCUUUGGAAGAGUCAUUUCUGUUUGUGAUAUAAUAACAUUUUUGUUGAUGUUUUAAAUUAUGUGCAAAUCCCUAUUUUUUUUUAAUCGUAACUAAUAAUUAUUUCUUCUUGUAACUUAUUAAUCUCUUAUUGUCACUGCUCAACAUUUCUGCAAAGGAAAACUCAAGCAGGGUUCACUCAGCCAUUUCUACCAGGAUUAAUGUUUGCAAAGUAUUUCUUGGAUUAUUGCACUUAACAGCUGGUGACUGUGAAAAUUUUAACCAUGACCAUAUUCAGUGUCGUGGCUGACUCUUCAGUGAUGGAGGGAUUCUGUCAGAUUUCUUUUGUCAUGCACUCUGUCAUAUGCCAUUUUAAGCUGUGCUGGCAGUAGCAGAUGCGAAGUAUACCAUAUGUAAUCACUAGGAGAUAGGUCUUUGUAAUAGAAAGAGGCUACUGCUAAUAGGGAAGAGAAUCGGAUCAGUAUAUUGCAAGGAAUAUAUUUUUCCCCCUACUUCUCUCUCAGAAACUGUGGAGCAAGAAAUCAAUUUCCCAACCCUAUGCCAAAAGAGAAGAUUCAGCUCCCAGUUACGAUACCUAAUGUAUGUUCAGGGACACUAUUGACUUUCUCAAAAAUAGAAUUAUAGAAGUGCCUGUAGUCAUGAGGACAGGACAUGAUCUGGUCAGUCAGAGAUGUAAGAUUUUAUUAGAUCAACUCAUAACAGGACAAAAAAAAGGGCUUGUACACUCAAAAUGUUUUUCUAUAAAGCAGAAACCAUAAUCUCACUUUAUGAGUUUAGUUUAGGUAGCAGUAUUGGGUGCAAGAUAAAACUGUUUUGUCAGUUUGUGAGGUGCACUGAAAUACAGCCUCUACCAUAACAGAAGAGGACAGGUUGGACAUCAGUUGCCCUACUGGGAUCAUCUCUUGGACGAGCUGAGGCUAGGAGAAGUGUAUCAGUACUGGCAGUAACUUUUUAAAAAGACAUUACUCAGGUUUUGGUUUGCUUUGGGUUUGUUGGGGUUUUUUUGUUUAUUUGGGGGUUUGGGUUGUUUUUUUCUGUUGCUCUUUUUGCAGCAAGUGAAAAACCAUCUCAUCCUGACUUUAAAGUAGUCAGCGAUUGACAGUCCGUAAAACACCCUAGUAAAAUUUUCAGUGGUUGAUCACACUUACUUUAAAGAUCUUCCCUGUUGCUGACAACCUGAAUUUCUCUCUGAACAGCAGUUCAGGGGUUAGUCAGGAAAGCAUGGCUUAAAUAACAAGCAAAAGAAUUUUUAAGUCCUGAUUCUACCUUCUCUUCAAGGAUCUUGACAUUUCUGAAGGGGCUGUAUAAUUUUAUUUAAUCUCCAGCUAUGCCAAAUUCCAGAAUUAUUUCAGUGCAAUAGGAGUGGAACAAUAGGUGGAAGCAGCUGGGGAUAGGCUUUUUGCUUCUGUGAGUCAAAGCUAAAAGCUGGGUUCUUAGAGUAUGUUUCCCAGUCUGUAGUUUACUUACUUCAGACUGGGCGAGGACAUACAAAUUAUUGCAAAGUAAGCCGAAGAAGAAGGAAAAAGGUGAUGGUGUGGUUCUGGGAUGGCAUAAAAGUGUUGGCCAGUUUGAAAUCUUGGAAUCUAAACCACAUGCUUUAAACUGAUUCACUUGAAAAUGUUAUUUAAUGAAUAGAUUCCUUAAUAUCUCAAAUCAUAAAAUGUUUUAAGAGUUAUAUGCAUGGUAACUAGCUACACACAAAUUUACAUUUAAAAAAAUAAUUGUAAAAUAAGUUACAAUCCUCUCUUUGAUGACGUAUUGUGCAAUUUUUUUGUGUUUAAUUCUGUUAUCACAUUGUAUAUGGAGUAGCCUCUUCAUCUCAUAAAAGCACUUUCAAUUUUGAAUUAAAACUUGGAACCUAUAAUAGGUUCUUACAAUAAACUGAUUUUAUAUAUAUUCUAUCUUUCUAAGAACCUUGAAAUUGCAAGUUUCACCGUCUCAUAAUAGUGCAGAAAUGAAAGGGUAAUACUGGGCGUAAAAUACAUAAUGAAAUAAGUUCUUUUGAAUAGGUAUUUUCCCAUCAUAUUUUAACCAGGUUAAUUAAUGCUAUCAUGACUCCACCAUACAUUUAAGUUCAGGUGAAAUCUAGUGAAUCACACCAAUGGGACAUGUUAGCGACUAGACAAUUUCUCCAUGGCAGUAGCAGAUUGAGUGAAGUCUUGAAUGCAAAAGGCAAGGUAAAUGGGCGGUGUAUGUAGUAAACCCUUCGUGUUCUGUCACAAUAAAAUGCCUGCCUGAAAAAUAUGCAAUCAAUUCGCAGAAAAAAACCCUGAACACUCCAACAAAAAACCCUCCUUGUUCUCGUUUGGUGCUUUCCAGAAACGUAUUUUUCUGGGUGAAGGGCUAGUUGCUUUGUAUUUUUUUCUAAUUUCAUUGCAAGAGAAUGACAAGCUGAAAUGCUUUAAGCAAACAGAUUGUUACUUUCAGUGCUUAUUUUCCUGGUUGUCACAAUUAUUGUCCUACAUUAAUCUUAUGCUCUUAUUGCUUAAUGUCUUUAGUGGGGGAGUUGUUUGUUCUCUGUUUAUCUGUCACCAUACUGUGAAUGCAACAGGAGUGUCAUCUGGAGGGGGCAGGUUUGUGGUGUAAACACUUUUUGAACACCUACACGCUACUAAAACAGAGCUCCAGUGACUAAGCGGGUCAGCUCAGACCUUCUGAGAUAAAUGUGCAUAGACUGUAACUCUAUCAUGGAAGGACUGAUUUUACUCUGCAUUUUUAACAACAUAGCAUUGGACAUUAAUGUUGAAAGGCAUCAGCUGCCAGGCAUUAUAAUAUUAUAUGAGGCCUUUAUGACUAAUUCUGAAAAUGGAUGUCUUUUCACUUCUUUUUGGACAUUAAAGCAUCCACAGUGUUUCUUAAAUAUUUUAAAAGAAAACUUGCCAAAAAUAACGACUGCGAUUUAUUGGCCAGAGCAUUCCUCAACUGAGAGCAGGCCGCCUUCUGUACAAUAUCAGUCGAAUACUGUAUCCUCUGUACAUUUAACUUGCUCACACUAAUAGCAUUUAGUUCAGUCCCCAAACAGGAAAGUCAUUUGAGAUUUAUUUAAACUAAAGGCAAUUCUUCUUCAAUGUCAUCUAUUCUGAAAUCCACUGAGAUCAAAAGUGCUUUUCAUAAUAAUUAAAUGUAAAUUAAUUGAUGGUGGAUUUGAACUGAAAAACCCAAAAUGUUAAUGAAGAGAACAGUUGUGAUAUAGUUGUUCACACCUACCUAAAAUCCUAAUUCUAUGUAGGGAUCGCUAUGGCUGAAAGAGUUACAGAGGUUAAGUUUGUAUCAGUACUCGUUCACUCUCUCUCCUCUCCCCCAGUUGCUCUCUGCACUAAUUAAGAACCCCACAAAACACCAAAACCCAACAAUGAAAACCCUUUUAGCACCUACACAGUAAUAAUACAGAAAUGACAUAGAAACAGCAGCCAGGGCAAACAGCAUUCCCUUUAUUCCUAGAAUGGGCCAGCCUGUCUAAAGGGCAUACAUCUUUCUGUCUCUAGUUUAAAAAAAAAAAUAAAAUAAAACAAAACCAAAAUUAUUUUGCUGUGGCCAGGAAAUAAUCUAGGCCGUAUUAGAAGCUCAGGAAGACCAGGCACUGAUACCAUUUAUAUAGAGCCAGCUCUCCAGUAAGGGAAAUCGAUUGAAAGAAUCCACAGCCUUGCUGUAAAACAGGGCGUAGGAUUGAAGCACAAUCUUUUGCUUCAAUAAAACCGUUACUUUUUGGCUGAAAAAUAACAUCCCUGAAAUAUAUUGACAGGAUGUCUUCCUGUGUUGGCUAGUGGGAAUUUUGUAUAAGACCUCUUUUAUGGGCUAGUCAUCUCAGAAAUUGGUUCUCUUGUUUCUCCCUCCAGUUUUAUGCACGUUACAUUACAGUGGAUUAAGUCUUUAUGGGGAACAUGGUGAUGGGCUGCAGCCAAGCAAAAACUCCUUGAGAUGUACCCUAAGUGUGUAUUUAAUUCAAAAUAUCGUGAAUUUCAAGGCAAACAUUUUAUUUUUUAAAUCUGUAGUAUUUCAGUAAAAGUAUAGAAAAAUACGUCAAAACAUUUUGAUUGACCAUAAUAAUGACUGUUACAAGGAGAUGUAGUGUGCAGAAUAAGCCGAAUUUAACAUUAACCUGCAAUAUCAGAUAUAUCAAGCAUUUUACUAAUCUCUGAGGAAGCAACACUGACUAACGCAGUAAAUAGCAUAUGGGGGCUUGUUUCUCCCUUCCUGUCAAUGAACAGCACUAGCAGCGGUGUUAGACUCUACUUAGACCAGAGCUAUCAAAUGGGUAAGCUGAGAGUAGGUAAGGAGGAUGAAUAAACCAAACUCUCACUGGCUGAUGCAGAGUGUCAGAAAGAAAAUCUGCAGGCUCAUCUGGGGUCCAGACCUGACAAAUUUCUUGUCGCAAAACUAGUGGAUGUUGUUCACCAUUUUACAGUAAGAAAGCCAGGCUUUUUUUUUUUUUUUUUUUUUCCUGACCUGACAAAUGCUUUAGCUAUAGGGACUGAAAUCUCUAAUGAGCUGAAAAUUCUUGGGCAAAUGAAUGCUGAGAGAGUGAUGCUGUUAGUUUUUAGGUCCUGAGAAUUUCUCUUUGAAACCUAGCUACAUACAUUAUUAUGAUUUUGAUAUGCAUUAACUAUAAAAUAAUGCAAAUUCAUUAACUGAAGUUACUUUUUAUUUACAUACUUCAAAGUAUAAGGAAUGACUAUGCAGUUUAUGGCAGAUAUAUGUAAGGAUGUAUUUUUAGCAGGAUUUCAGCUACUUUUGUUAUCCAUAUAGUUGAUGAAAGGGAUCCGCUUUCAGCGUGAACAAACAAAGCAUAUUUUUGCAGUGUCUUUUCAGGAUUGAAAAAACUGUUGAGUUGAAAGCAAAGUCCAGUUAGUAAACCUCACUUUCAUUUCCCUCAUGUGGAGGACUGACCUAGAAAGAGCACUGCUUAUAUUUGGCUGCUGAAAUACUGUACUACAAAUACAGGAUGAGGAGUUCAUCUCACGUAGCUCCUUAUUUCCAAGAAAUCCAAGUGCCACUAGUAUUACAUAAGUCACCCAGGACACUAGGGUUGAAGUUGCUGCGCUGAGGCUUGCUUAGCACUGCUGUAUUAGUUGGCAAGCCAAUUCAACAUUUAUUUCAAGUGUAUGAAGGAGAAGCAGGUUCAUGAAUAGAUAAUAGAGAAGGCGUACAUUGUCUGAAUGCAUUAGUUCAAAAACAGUGUUCUUAAAAUACUGUUGUAUUGAAAGCAUGCAUUUGAAGAUCUUAGAUUAUUCAGUUUGCAAGUCAACACGUUCUGUGCAUUACACUUGUAUUGAAUUAUUAUGCCUCAGCUAAAUAAAGGUCCUCAUCCCUAAUGCUUGGCUUUUAUGAGCCUCCUACAGUAAUGUGUGUAAAGGCACAUGGGAGAGAAGGAGAGAAAGAAUUCUUUGUACUUUCAGUGUUUAAUGAACAGCACAGUUUUUGGGUCAUCUCAAAGAGUAGGCACAAUUUGAGCAGUAAAAGCAAAAGCAAAAUCACUCUUUUGAGAACGUUCUUUUGAGACUUACCAAGAUUUCCUUUAGCAUUGCCUAAUUGGCCCUGCUUUCUGACACAGCAUGAAGUGAGGACACAAAGAGCUCUCAACUUGCAGUGUGGUGUAGUAACUUCUUUCAUGAGUUGUACAUUAAAAAAUAAAGAUCGCAACAUGUACAGUCAGUAUUUAAAGAUAUGGAAAACCAGAAAUGUUUGAGAGGGGAGAGACAGGAGCAGAGAUGGUGGAAUAUAAACCCCUCUGACUUCAGUUUGCUGCUUCCUUCUGUAGUUUUCUGAAAAUUCUGAAGUGACUAUUUGUUAUCAAAUUGAUUUUUUCAAUGUUGUACCUAUUCUACUUUUGCCAGUCAAGACUCUGACUGGACAGGAAUGGGAAUACCUAACAUCAGUGAUUUGUAACAUACGGGGUCUCAAAGCUGGAAUUAAAACCUGACAUCAGACUCAAGAGUUUCACCUGCUGGUCUGAACACUGCUUCGUAGUGGGAAGAGGAUUAACAGAUGACUGAUCGCUGGCUGGGGAGUUCCUGAACUGCUCAAGGAAUUAAGUGUGCACUGGACAUGCAUAUGGGCACAGCACCGGUACACAGCUACUUUAACUUAUGAAAAAGAGAGUGAAGCAUACCCCAAAAGCCCUGAAGAUGUGUAAGCCUGUGCUAUGCCUGUGAAAAGUAAUAUUCUCAGCCUUUGCUCUUGUGCGUGACUGAAGAGACUGAAGAGGAUUAGACAUACUUUAAAUCUUCUGCCAAAUACUUGAGAUCAGAGUAUUUUUUAAUUGUCUGUACAUGCAAAGAACAAUUAUUCUGGUUAAGCCCAGGGUAUGAUGGCUGCUGUAAAAUGGACCUUUUCUAUUAUUGAUAAUACCGUUGGGGUUUCUUUAAGCUAGAUUGUUUAGGACUCCUUGAAAACUGUGAGAGAGCCCUCCUAGAAAAAAAUGCAUAAAUUAACAUGGAAUCCAAACCGCUUUUAUAUGUCCAAAAUAUGGUAAUUAUUAAUUUUUUUUAGAAAAAUAUCAGAUGAAACAAUUUGGGGUUUUUUUGGUGAAAACUCAUUCUCAUAAAAUGUCAGUGGUUAGGAUUAUCAGGUCUAAUAUUAACACUUUCUAUUUUUACUUAGCGUCUCUUGUUCUGACUAGAAAAAAUUACUUUAGGCCAGACAAACAUAACUUGACUUUCAUCCUUUCUCCCGUUUCCCUUUCGAAUGCCUACUCAAAUACUUCAAAAAAUUAUAAUCACUCCACUAAGAAAAGUUAACUUUGUUCCAGCCUCCUUUCUCUGCCUUUCUUUGAUUUUCAGUUUUUGGAAAAGUUUUCCAAAGAUUUUGUGUUGUUCCUAAAAAGAAACAGAUGCAUUUCUAAAACAUCUUUUCCUCUCACCUCCUUGACAAAAAUCUUGUUUAAGAAGAAAGCAAAUGGAUCCAUCAUUGGUUGGUGGCUUUCUUGUGUUCAGGGUGUGAAGCCAGAAAUAGCUUAUCAUUUUAUGGGAAUUUGAAAAUCUGAAGCUCUGUAAACCUAAACUUUUCUUUCUGAAAGAAGAUCUGAUGCACUUCUGCUCCUAGAAAUAGGUUUUGGCACCCACCCACCUGCAUCCACCCCCCAUAAGGAAGCCUUUACCCACAAUUUUUUAGCACUCACACAACUAACCCUGACAACUUUUACCAAACAAGGUAUGGAGCAGCAGACCUUAUGAUUAAUUUAUAAGUUGCUGUUGUGGUGGGUUUUUUCCUAAUGUUAGUUGGAAUUAGAGCCCUUACAGACAACAAAAGAAACCCCCCUUUAUUUUAUUUUAAGCUAGUUUCAAAACAGGUUUCUAAUUAAAUGACUUUGCUUUUUUAUCAACUUGACUUGCUAUCUCAGGUAAGAAGCUGUGGGUAUCCAGAUUACAGCUAAUGAAGUAUAUUUUAGAAACAAUUCUAACUAUCAUUUAUAUUUUGCUUCAGAGUCCUAGUCCAGACUCCAGGCUUCAGUACUGUAUUCAGCCCUAAGUGAAAUCGCUAAAUCUGAAAGUCUCCACCACCUGUUCUUUGUCAGAGACUACUAGCAUCAGCUCAAGCUAAAAGAAGUUAUUAUACAUGAAUGAACUGAGAGAAGUUAAUUUUCCACAGGCUUGAAUAUUACAAUAUUUGUUAGAAGUAUAAAAAACAUUACUUGUAGAGCAUUCUACAGGAAUUAAAAAAAAAAAAAAAAGUGCCAAAGCUUUAUUAUUCAUGAAUAACCUAAAAUCACCUAUACACAUAUUAGAAAUACAUAGUAUAAGUUAACUGGUUCUUUCUAAGUCUUGAACGCCACCUCCUUUGAAACAUUCAUAUCUGACAGGUUGUAAUGUUUUGGGGCAGUUCCAUAAUACUGGCUUUAAAGUCCCUCCUCCUCGCAGUGAACUCAUAAAUUAAAGCAAGAAACAAGGGUUUAAACUAUUUGUCAUCAGCUGUGCAUGCUUUUUAUUUAUCUAUCUAUCUAUUUAUUUAAUUAAUUAUUACUAUUUAUUGCCUUCAGAAACUUCUGAAAUAAUAAUCAUCACUUAAUUAAAACAAAAUUUUGCUCUAUCAUACCUUGCAUAUAUACACAAUCACUGUGCAAUAUUCAUUAAGCUUUCUGAAAAGAAAUAUCUCAUUUGCACAUAAAGAAAGAGCUUGUAUGGUUUAAUUAAAAAAAAACCUGUUGGUAUAAUUUAACUCAGUGAGAUCAGUACUGAGCUAGGAAAGUUCCUGAAUUAAAUAUACUGUGAUGUUUAUGCAUGUAUUUAUUCAGAUAGACCACUAUAUGAAUAAUGAUCAGGAGUCAUUAUUAGGAAUCCCCCGCAGAGGAAGCAAUCACUAAUAUUGAGUUUAUAUAUAUCACAGUUCCUCUACAGGUGGAUGAAUUAAGCCAUGGGAAGGACAGCUUAGUGUGUGUGCCAGAGUGUGUACAUGUGAACAUUGAGGUGGUUAGGUGGGAAGAAGCAUAGGGAUGUGGAAAGGAAUCUGCAACGAGGAUCACACACACAGUCAAGCUUCCAAGCUGAUGAAAAGACAGAUGCUUCUAUGGACCCUGUGGGGAUGUUAUUUCCUGCAACCCCAAAUGCCUCUGAAAGCUGCUGGACUGAGAUUAAGUUUGGAGCAACCUGUAAGGGCCCACUGGCUAUGAAAAAUGUAUGUGUUCCCAAAGCAUUUUAUUUUGAUCUGCCAAUAGAUCAGAAACUUGCUGCACUUAGAAAGCUUUUCUAUCUUUUGACAUGUUCUUAAGAAAAAUAGCAGACAGAUUCCUCUCAAGGCUUUGGCUGAAUUUAAGUCCUGUCACAAUGUAUUUAACUUUUUUUCCAGGAUAUUAUUUACUUUAAUUUCAGAUAUACCCUUUGUGAGACAGCCAUAAAUCAUAGGUCCACAUUUUUAGUCCUGAAUACUUAAACCUAUGCAUCUUAAAAUACAUACAGGUCAUUGAUCUGCCAAUUAGAGGUCUGCCCCCAAAAUUCUAAUGUCUGUUCCUUCAGAGAGAUCUCUCUCGUGGUCUGUCUUUGCCACUGAAAAGCACAAUUAAGGUACUAUUGAAGGUUAAAUAAUAGUAGUGUCAAUAACAUCUCCUAUAAAUGAGUGAGAAAUUGUUUCUGCAGAGUGCUCAAGCACUAUAAUGAACUGUAGGGAAGAAAUACUUAGCUCUUUAAAUGAGCUUUGGGAGCACUGGAGUAUUAGCUAUUAGGAACUGAAUUUACCUUAAACUUGCCUUCACCCAUCCAUGUAGAUUCAUAUCAUGAAAGCUAAAAAGUCUAGAGCUAAAGGUGGAAAAUGGACCCAUUCAAACUGCAGAAAUUUCUUCUUUCUCAUGAUCUGCCUGCAUCUCUCUCUUCACGGGCAAAGAGAACCAUUGUGAGACUCGUGACAGCCAGGGUAUAGAGCAGAAAAAGUUGAAAGCUCUCAUCUUUCAUUUACCUGCUAGAUGGCAGGUGUUGCCAUCUAACUCAGGGUGAUGACUGCUACACCUCCUCUCAACAAUUGCCAGAGUUGCAGGAAGCAAUGACACGUUAAAGCUAGACUAUCAGAGGGGACUGAAGGUCAUUCCUCACUGUCCAGAGGAGUGUAUUUGUGGUAAAGACAUUUUCAUAUGGUCAGCAAUUUGAACUUACAUUGUCUUUUUUAUUAUAGAAACUCCACACACCCGUUCUGGAUAGGUGCUGCAUGGGAAGUGUUCCUGUGCUUUUCUGCAUUUGUACCUAUGCAUAAAAAGACAUUAUUUAGCACUAGACACUUUAGCAUUCAGUUUUGAUCUGUAGUAAGACUAUAGAAUUUUGGCUGACAUCAAUAGGAGUUGCAUACUGCACAGGCAAAACUGUGCUCAGUCUGCGUAGUGUCAAGGAAAUUACAUUUAUUCAGAACUUUCUUGUGCUGCUAAUUAAGUCCUGGGUCAUUUAAAACUGAAUUGUUAAAAGCAGACAUAGGCAUCUGAUACAUAUUUCCACCUGGGUUGACGGGAUAUUGGAUGCAGCAAAUCAAAGUGCUUUCUGCUUUUAAUACAUAUUUUCACAUGUUCAUGUUCCAUUGUUCCCCUUGCUCCAAAAAAAUAAUCUUAAUCAUUACUUGCUUUGUAUUCCAUAACUAUCCUUGGCAGCAACAAUCUUUUAAAUCUAUCAUCACCAAAAGCAGGGAAGAUACUUACUUUUUUUUCCUUGUAUGAGAGCUAGAUAGAUACUGUCAUAAAAAAGUUCUCAAAGUGAAAGUUUUGCUAAAGAAAAAAGAAUUCACAGGAAGAAUUCAGUAACAAGUUAGCUCUAAACAACGAUUUCAUGAUCAGACUCCAAGGGCCUAAAUUUAGCUUUGCCUACACUGAUCUGAAUUGGUGAAAGGCUACUGUACUCUUUAAGGCAUCAGGGUAUUUGAAGAAAUAAACAUAUCCAACUAAUCUUUCUUAUUACAAGGGUUUAUAUUCUAAUUUUAAAGCACUACUUUCUUCUGUUUAAACAACAGCAAUGAAUUAUACAGAUAUUAUAUUAUGUAAGGCACAGGUACUUUUAAGUCUCAUUAAAUUCAAACCAAACAAAUUACUAGUUUUGCAUAUGAUCAUUUUGUAUGUCACCUUUUGAAGUGGUUAUUGGAAUAGAGUUUUUCUAAGUAAUCUAAUUUUCAAUUUAUUUUGCUUGAUUAUUAAGUACAGCUAGCAAUAUGGUCACAAAAAAAGAUUUUAAAAGAAACUAAAAUUGAAUUGAGCCUUGCAUAUGUUUCUUCAGGUGCUCAAACUGUUUGGUAUAUUCCUGAGAACUCUCUUCAUUAUGUAUUCACUAUUUGAACAUCAUUUGAGAGUAUUUGUUCCUCCUCUUGUUGAAAGCAUCUGCGGCUGCUGCUACAGGCAUGAUUUAAAUUUAUUGUCGCUGUAAUCAAAUAUAUUUUAAUAUGCUAAUUUUGAUGUUGUAUCUGGGCACUCUAAAAUGUGUUUAUUCCUGUGUCUUUAAACUUAGAAUUUAAUUUAUACUGACAGUAUUACUUUCAUAAGGGAAUUUAAUGUUCCAGUGCCCUGUAGAAUGUUUUAAUACCUAGUUUAAAGACUUGAUAGCCAUUAGAGAACCAGAGGCUUUUCUCUGAUGCUAUAUCCUGCAGAAAAAAGGUGAUAAUUUGCCUCUGUAAUACUUCUGAAUGAACCAAAUAAAGAUUUUUGUCUUGGGUACACAUAAUUAUAAUAUGUAGGCAUCAUUGCAGAAAAACAGUUUAGUCCAUUAGAAUGUGAAACCAGUACUUACACUUGUUUGUUAUACUACAAUAGAAGAAUGGGAAGAAAACAAUACAUUGGCAUAGACAUUUA
Falco peregrinus (peregrine falcon) is the source of this 11342-nucleotide long non-coding RNA. RefSeq lists it as uncharacterized. Lineage: Eukaryota; Metazoa; Chordata; Aves; Falconiformes; Falconidae. The record is from RefSeq and is a predicted model, not a curated record. The transcript has 4 exons.